Long non-coding RNA from Sarcophilus harrisii (Tasmanian devil), 283 nucleotides. RefSeq lists it as uncharacterized. Lineage: Eukaryota; Metazoa; Chordata; Mammalia; Dasyuromorphia; Dasyuridae. The transcript is spliced from 3 exons. The record is from RefSeq and is a predicted model, not a curated record.
AGAGAAAUGGGAAGAGAGAAAGGAGGAGAGGGAGGAAACAAAGAAGAAUACAUGUCUGAAAGUGGAACACAAUAUUGCUUCCCACUAUAAUUCAUCAUCAAGUGGACAAAAUACAUCAUUAAAUAAGUGUAUCCAUGGAAAUCUUGAGAAUCCUUUCAACACUUCACUUUUCAAGACUUCACUUUUUCAAAAUCUAACUAAUCAUACAUGUCAUUGGAGGAAAUGUACUAUGCAAGGCCAAAAAAAAUACUUUUUUUUAAUGAGGAAUUUGGUUGAUUUCUUA